This is a non-coding RNA of Ceratotherium simum simum (southern white rhinoceros), 122 nucleotides long. Lineage: Eukaryota; Metazoa; Chordata; Mammalia; Perissodactyla; Rhinocerotidae. The record is from RefSeq and is a predicted model, not a curated record.
CCCUGCCCAACUCACUCCAGAGAAGUGAGUAUCAGACAACUAGGGACAGCCCCUAUGCCCCAGGGCCCACUGAAAUUACUCAAACUAGCCAAUCUGAAAUCUACUUACCCUGCUUUGCCCAG